This 65-nucleotide transfer RNA is filed under the name Nephus voeltzkowi. RNAcentral's name for it is "tRNA-Phe". Lineage: Eukaryota; Metazoa; Arthropoda; Insecta; Coleoptera; Coccinellidae. The record is from RNAcentral.
AUUUAAAUAGCUUAUAUAGAGCAUGAUAUUGAAGAUAUUAAGGAAAUUUAUAAAAUUUUUAAAUA